This 378-nucleotide unclassified non-coding RNA is filed under the name plant metagenome. RNAcentral's name for it is "partial contains 5.8S ribosomal RNA, internal transcribed spacer 2, and large subunit ribosomal RNA". The stretch from base 1 to 105 matches the Rfam family "5.8S ribosomal RNA", at positions 50 to 154 of the family's 154-position model. The record is from RNAcentral.
GAAAUGCGAUAAGUAAUGUGAAUUGCAGAAUUCAGUGAAUCAUCGAAUCUUUGAACGCACCUUGCGCUCCUUGGUAUUCCUUGGAGCAUGCCUGUUUGAGUAUCAUGAAAUCUUCAAAGUAAAUCUUUUGUUAACUCAAUUGGUUUCUACUUUGGUAUUGGAGGUCUUUGCAGCUUCACACCUGCUCCUCUUUGUUCAUUAGCUGGAUCUCAGUGUUAUGCUUGGUUCCACUCGGCGUGAUAAGUUAUCUAUCGCUGAGGACACUGUAAAAGGUGGCCAAGGUAAAUGCAGAUGAUCCGCUUCUAAUAGUCCAUUGACUUGUACAAUACUUUUAUGAUCUGAUCUCAAAUCAGGUAGGACUACCCGCUGAACUUAAGC